This 348-nucleotide unclassified non-coding RNA is filed under the name soil metagenome. Its description in RNAcentral is "partial contains 5.8S ribosomal RNA, internal transcribed spacer 2, and large subunit ribosomal RNA". The stretch from base 1 to 120 matches the Rfam family "5.8S ribosomal RNA", at positions 35 to 154 of the family's 154-position model. The record is from RNAcentral.
GAUGAAGAACGUAGCGAAAUGCGAUAAGUAGUGUGAAUUGCAGAAUUCAGUGAAUCAUCGAAUCUUUGAACGCACAUUGCGCCCCUUGGUAUUCCAUGGGGCAUGCCUGUUCGAGCGUCAUUGCUGCCCUCAAGCACGGCUUGUGUGUUGGGCCCCCGUCCCCGGUUUCCCCCGGGGACGGGCCCGAAAGGCAGCGGCGGCACCGCGUCCGGUCCUCGAGCGUAUGGGGCUUUGUCACCCGCUCUGUAGGCCCGGCCGGCGCCAGCCGACACCCAACUUUAUUUCUAAGGUUGACCUCGGAUCAGGUAGGGAUACCCGCUGAACUUAAGCAUAUCAAUAAGCGGAGGA